This 1056-nucleotide long non-coding RNA is filed under the name Micromonas commoda. RNAcentral describes it as "long non-coding RNA (MCOM_LNC000314)". The record is from RNAcentral. Lineage: Eukaryota; Viridiplantae; Chlorophyta; Mamiellophyceae; Mamiellales; Mamiellaceae.
GCACUCUCCGCUUUCGUCAGCCGUCGCCGCGUCGCAGUCGCAACAAUAGUUGUUCUGGCCGCAGAGCCCAGACAGGCAUUCGUCGUUGUUGCCCCAACACCGUGAGCCCGCAUUGCCCUUCGCUCUGCAAUCGUAGGUACCAUCUCGGUACUGCGUUGCGCUGUCACAUAUCUGCCUGCAUCUGCCGUAAUAGAUCUCAUAACCCUCAUCGCACUCUGUACAAAAGGCCGAUUCUGCUGCAUCGCACUGUGUGCAGUUCUGCAUGCCGUUGCUCCAUCGAUCGGCAAAGCAACACACUCCGCCGGCACACAUUUUAUGGUUGUAGCAAUCGGAGUCCGAGCUGCAGCUCUCGCCUGCAUUCUUCAAGGUGGAGCAAGCCCCGUUGCCUGAUGUGCAAAUUCCGCAGCCCUGAGCCACUGCUGUGUCGCUACAGCAAUAGUUCCCUUUGCAACUGUUUGACAGGCAUUCGUCGUUGUUGCCCCAACACCGUGAGCCCGCAUUGCCCUUCGCUCUGCAAUCGUAGGUACCAUCUCGGUACUGCGUUGCGCUGUCACAUAUCUGCCUGCAUCUGCCGUAAUAGAUCUCAUAACCCUCAUCGCACUCUGUACAAAAGGCCGAUUCUGCUGCAUCGCACUGUGUGCAGUUCUGCAUGCCGUUGCUCCAUCGAUCGGCAAAGCAACACACUCCGCCGGCACACAUUUUAUGGUUGUAGCAAUCGGAGUCCGAGCUGCAGCUCUCGCCUGCAUUCUUCAAGGUGGAGCAAGCCCCGUUGCCUGAUGUGCAAAUUCCGCAGCCCUGAGCCACUGCUGUGUCGCUACAGCAAUAGUUCCCUUUGCAACUGUUUGACAGGCAUUCGUCGUUGUUGCCCCAACACCGUGAGCCCGCAUUGCCCUUCGCUCUGCAAUCGUAGGUACCAUCUCGGUACUGCGUUGCGCUGUCACAUAUCUGCCUGCAUCUGCCGUAAUAGAUCUCAUAACCCUCAUCACACUCUGUACAAAAGGCCGAUUCUGCUGCAUCGCACUGUGUGCAGUUCUGCAUGCCGUUGCUCCAUCGAUC